GUCAGUAGAGGUCGAGGCCGCGGCCCGCAGUUGACGGCCUUCGGGCCGGCUCAUUGAAUCAGGGCCGAGGAAAGUCCGGACUCCGCAGGGCGGUGUGGUGGAUAACUUCCACCGGGAGCGAUCCCAGGGAAAGUGCCACAGAAAAUAUACCGCCGACCUCGAGAGAGAAUCGGUAAGGGUGAAAUGGUGAGGUAAGAGCUCACCGCGAGGGUGGUGACACUCCUCGGCAAGGUAAACCCCACACGGAGCAAGACCGAAUAGGGGAGCAGAGGCUGCUCGUUUCGCGCGGACUCGUUCGCAUAACUCCCGGGUAGGUCGCAAAGAUGAAUGGUCUCGGGCUGGACCCAGGUUCAGCCAACAGAAUCCGGCUUACAACCUGCUGACCGGC
Molecule: RNase P RNA, 388 nt
Filed under: Planctomycetota bacterium
Lineage: Bacteria; Pseudomonadati; Planctomycetota
Description: RNase P RNA component class A
Rfam family: Bacterial RNase P class A
About the family: Ribonuclease P (RNase P) is a ubiquitous endoribonuclease, found in archaea, bacteria and eukarya as well as chloroplasts and mitochondria. Its best characterised activity is the generation of mature 5'-ends of tRNAs by cleaving the 5'-leader elements of precursor-tRNAs.
Source: RNAcentral